This 1359-nucleotide ribosomal RNA is filed under the name uncultured bacterium. RNAcentral's name for it is "partial 16S ribosomal RNA". It matches the Rfam family "Bacterial small subunit ribosomal RNA". The record is from RNAcentral.
AGAGUUUGAUCCUGGCUCAGGACGAACGCUGGCGGCGUGCUUAACACAUGCAAGUUGUACGGUAUGUCAUGGAAGCUUGCUGAAGUGACAUAUAGUAGCGAACGGGUGAGUAAUGCAUGAGAAUUUAUCCUUAGGAGGGGGACAACAGCUGGAAACGGCUGCUAAUACCCCGUAUGCCGGAAGGUGAAAGGUGCGAGAGUGCCGCCUGGGGUUGAGCUCAUGUCCUAUCAGCUAGUUGGUGGGGUAACGGCCUACCAAGGCGACGACGGGUAGCCGGCCUGAGAGGGUGAACGGCCACACUGGAACUGAGACACGGUCCAGACUCCUACGGGAGGCAGCAGUGGGGAAUUUUGGGCAAUGGGGGAAACCCUGACCCAGCGACGCCGCGUGAGGGAAGACAGCCUUCGGGUUUUAAACCUCUUUUGUACGGGAAGAUAAUGACGGUACUGUAUGAAUAAGUCCCGGCUAACUACGUGCCAGCAGCCGCGGUAAUACGUAGGGGACGAGCGUUGUCCGGAAUUACUGGGUGUAAAGGGCGCGCAGGCGGUUCUGAAAGUCAGAUGUGAAAGAUCAAGGCUUAACUUUGACAGGUCAUCUGAAACUUUGGGACUUGAGUAUCAGAGGGGAAAGUGGAAUUCCUGGUGGAGCGGUAAAAUGCGCAGAGAUCAGGAGGAACACCGGUGGCGAAGGCGACUUUCUGGCUGACAACUGACGCUGAGGCGCGAAAGCGUGGGGAGCAAACAGGAUUAGAUACCCUGGUAGUCCACACUGUAAACGAUGAUAACUCGCUGUCGGCGAUACACAGUCGGUGGCCAAGCGAAAGCAUUAAGUUAUCCACCUGGGGAGUACGACCGCAAGGUUGAAACUCAAAGGAAUAGACGGGGGCCCGCACAAGCGGAGGAACACGUGGUUUAAUUCGAUGAUACGCGAGGAACCUUACCCGGGCUCGAACGGUGCAUGAAUAUACGAGAGAUUGUAUAGUCCUUCGGGACAUGUAUCGAGGUGCUGCAUGGUUGUCGUCAGUUCGUGCCGUGAGGUGUCGGCUUAAGUGCCAUAACGAGCGCAACCCUCGUCAUUAGUUGCCAUCAGGUCAAGCUGGGGACUUUAAUGAGACUGCCACCGUAAGGUGUGAGGAAGGGGGGGAGGACGUCAAAUCAGCACGGCCCUUAUGUCCGGGGCGACACACGUGUUACAAUGGGAGGUACAGGGGGCAGCUAUCCGGUGACGGAAUGCUAAUCUCCAAAACCUUUCUCAGUUCGGAUUGGAGUGUGCAACUCGACUCCACGAAGGUGGAUUCGCUAGUAAUCGCGCAUCAGCCAUGGCGCGGUGAAAAAGUUCCCGGGCCUUGCACACACCGCC